CAGUCGUGCGGACCUUUUAAAAGCUUGCUUUUAAAAGGUUAGCGGCGGACGGGUGAGUAACACGUGGGCAACCUGCCUGUAAGAUCGGGAUAACGCCGGGAAACCGGGGCUAAUACCGGAUAGUUUUUUCCUCCGCAUGGAGGAAAAAGGAAAGACGGCUUUUGCUGUCACUUACAGAUGGGCCCGCGGCGCAUUAGCUAGUUGGUGGGGUAACGGCUCACCAAGGCAACGAUGCGUAGCCGACCUGAGAGGGUGAUCGGCCACAUUGGGACUGAGACACGGCCCAAACUCCUGCGGGAGGCAGCAGUAGGGAAUCUUCCGCAAUGGACGAAAGUCUGACGGAGCAACGCCGCGUGAGUGAAGAAGGCCUUCGGGUCGUAAAACUCUGUUGCCGGGGAAGAACAAGUGCCGUUCGAACAGGGCGGCGCCUUGACGGUACCCGGCCAGAAAGCCACGGCUAACUACGUGCCAGCAGCCGCGGUAAUACGUAGGUGGCAAGCGUUGUCCGGAAUUAUUGGGCGUAAAGCGCGCGCAGGCGGUUUCUUAAGUCUGAUGUGAAAUCUUGCGGCUCAACCGCAAGCGGUCAUUGGAAACUGGGAGGCUUGAGUGCAGAAGAGGAGAGUGGAAUUCCACGUGUAGCGGUGAAAUGCGUAGAGAUGUGGAGGAACACCAGUGGCGAAGGCGGCUCUCUGGUCUGUAACUGACGCUGAGGCGCGAAAGCGUGGGGAGCAAACAGGAUUAGAUACCCUGGUAGUCCACGCCGUAAACGAUGAGUGCUAAGUGUUAGAGGGUUUCCGCCCUUUAGUGCUGCAGCUAACGCAUUAAGCACUCCGCCUGGGGAGUACGGCCG
RNAcentral lists this ribosomal RNA (850 nucleotides) under uncultured Bacillus sp. RNAcentral's name for it is "bacterial SSU rRNA". It matches the Rfam family "Bacterial small subunit ribosomal RNA", at positions 59 to 888 of the family's 1533-position model. Lineage: Bacteria; Bacillati; Bacillota; Bacilli; Caryophanales; Bacillaceae. The record is from RNAcentral.